GACGAACGCUGGCGGCGUGCUUAACACAUGCAAGUCGAACGGAAAGGCCCUGCUUUUGUGGGGUGCUCGAUUGGCGAACGGGUGAGUAACACGUGAGUAACCUGCCCUUGACAUUGGGAUAACUUCAGGAAACUGGGACGAAUACCGGAUAGGAGCUCCUGCUGCAUGGUGGGGGUUGGAAAGUUUCGGCGGUUGGGGAUGGACUCGCGGCUUAUCCGCUUGUUGGUGGGGUAGUGGCUUACCAAGCCUUCGAAGGGUAGCCGGCCUGAGAGGGUGACCGGCGACAUUGGGACUGAGAUACGGCCCAGACUCCUACGGGAGGCAGCAGUGGGGAAUAUUGCACAAUGGGCGGAAGCCUGAUGCAGAAACGCCGCGUGCGGGAUGACGGCCUUCGGGUUGUAAACCGCUUUCGCCUGUGACGAAGCGUGAGUGACGGUAAUGAGUAAAGAAGCACCGGCUAACUACGUG
This 468-nucleotide ribosomal RNA is filed under the name uncultured bacterium. Its description in RNAcentral is "partial 16S ribosomal RNA". It matches the Rfam family "Bacterial small subunit ribosomal RNA", at positions 28 to 507 of the family's 1533-position model. The record is from RNAcentral.